GACGAACGCUGGCGGCGUGCUUAACACAUGCCAGUCGAACGGAAAGGCCCUGCUUUUGUUGGGUGCUCGAGUGGCGAACGGGUGAGUAACACGUGAGUAACCUGCCCUUGACUUUGGGAUAACUUCAGGAAACUGGGGCUAAUACCGGAUAGGAGCUCCUGCUGCAUGGUGGGGGUUGGUAAGUUUCGGCGGUUGGGGAUGGACUCGCGGCUUAUCCGCUUGUUGGUGGGGUAGUGGCUUACCAAGGCUUUGACGGGUAGCCGGCCUGAGAGGGUGACCGGCCACCUUGGGACUGAGAGACGGCGCAGACUCCUACGGGAGGCAGCAGUGGGGAAUAUUGCAGAAUGGGCGGAAGCCUGAAGCAGCAACGCCGCGUGCGGGAUGACGGCUUUCGGGUUGUAAACCGCUUUCGCCUGUGACGAAGCGUGAGUGACGGUAAUGGGUAAAGAAGCACCGGCUAACUACGUG
This 468-nucleotide ribosomal RNA is filed under the name uncultured bacterium. RNAcentral describes it as "partial 16S ribosomal RNA". It matches the Rfam family "Bacterial small subunit ribosomal RNA", at positions 28 to 507 of the family's 1533-position model. The record is from RNAcentral.